UCCUGGAUCCUCACAUUACUUCUUAAAAGU
Molecule: non-coding RNA, 30 nt
Filed under: Mus musculus (house mouse)
Lineage: Eukaryota; Metazoa; Chordata; Mammalia; Rodentia; Muridae
Source: RNAcentral